Molecule: long non-coding RNA, 2330 nt
Organism: Canis lupus familiaris (dog)
Lineage: Eukaryota; Metazoa; Chordata; Mammalia; Carnivora; Canidae
Exons: 3
Source: RefSeq, a predicted model, not a curated record
CUUCUUUCCACAAAUGCGGAGUAUUUUUCUUGACACUCAGUUCUACCUACUUCAGGGAGCAGCAGCUCUACAUCCUAAUCAGGAUAGAAGUGAUUCGAGAGAUUAUGCUGCAUUACUGAUUCACAAUCACGCAUCAGAGGUCCUGGGUUCUUGUAAAGUUAGGCAACAAUUAUAACAAAAGAGCAAAUUCCUGAAUUCUCUUCUCAAUAGGAUGAAUUUACCUUCCUGCAAGAUGGCCUGAUGCAAUCAAAGCCCCCAAUCCUCAAACAUUAAGUUUAGCUGAAGCCGAGAACAAUUAGAAGAUGCAUUUGCUGCUGCAAGAAACAGAGUAAUUGCAUAAAGUCAUUGCCUCCUGCCUUUAAAAGUCAAAAUCUGAAGAUGCGAUGGAAUGGACAGUCAAGAGCCACCCAGAUGGGGGGCUCCCGCCACAUCUGGAGCAGAGGUGAACUCAGCAGUCUGAACGGAACGUGGACCGUAGCCUGUACUCUACGAGCCAUGCAGAUGUGCGAGUGAACGAGGCAGCUUAAGGAGCCUGUCCUGUGGGCACACGAUUGAGUGUCACACCCCCUUUUACUAUGGACACACUGUUCACGGGGCAUGCACAUACACGUUCUCAGCUGAUAACCUGUAGCAGGGCCCCCUGGCAAGCAGAAAGGCAGAGUUGUCUACUUUUGUCUUAAAAACUUUAGAAUAUCAAAUUUAGAGAAACUGAAAGAUUUUUCCCAAGAUCACCUGGCUAGGAAGUGGCACAGCCAGGAUUUGAAAGCUGGUUCUUCAAAUUCUCUCCCAAUACCUCAAAAAGUGUCCUCAGUGACAGCAGGCUUCCAAAACGUCUAGGGGUACGUUAAGAAGGGCGGAUAGCUUUAAAGAGUAUUUACUUGGCUCUCGGGUGGACAUUUUGCACCCCUGCGUCUCUAGAAGUGAUGGGAGACUCACAAUUUGGCUUCCGAGGCCAGAGACCCCUCUCCCCCCUUUAUUCAGAACUGAACAGAGACAGACUUCCUGGAGACUGAGUUCAGUUUCCUACCUUCUGCUCUACCUGCAGGGCCCUCCAGUUAGAAACGAGGGUGCUGACUUCCUGCUCCAUCUGGGAAUUUUACCUUUCGAGCUGGCCUCUGAAGAGAGUCCUCUAUGCUUCCUCGAGCAAUAACCCAGGGGCAAAAAUAUUAAGAUCCCACACCGCAGGCUUUGCAACGGACCCCACACCUACAGGCUGCGACUCCUUCCCAACACCACAGAGUCCACAGCACAUGUGAGAUUCUGGAAGACUGUUGUUAAUGUGCACAGAAAACAGAUCGGGGUCCUGACACCUGCCCAGCUGGGGUGACGGACGGCAGCGUGUUCUCUCUUCCCAGGGCACCUGGACCUGCAGCUGGGAGCAUCGUGAGCACAAAGAACUUGCAGGAGGUACAUUUUCCUUGGCCGACCUGGCUGGGCCCCGAGGGACACCAGGAAGGUAUCCUUUGCUACAAGGGCAAGAAGCCGAAGCUUCUACUCAUUUGAAAUGCUGGUUGUGUUCAAAGCUUCCCCGCCCACCUUGCCACCACCCUCAGGCUGCUACCUCCGGGCUCCUACCCUACAUGCACACAGUGACCCAGAUCACUCACACAUCAGGCGCUGGCUGCACAACCAGCUUUCUACUCUGAAUAACCCAGAUUACUUCCUACUAAGGCCAUGAUAUUUAAAUUAGAAACACGCUUCCCCAGAUAAUAGGUGACCUGAUCCUUUAAUCCAGUUAUUUUUAAGUUCCACCAAAAAUACAAACUCAUUCUUGGCCUAGGUACAGAGGCGUGGCUAUAAAAUAAGACUUCCGCAUAGCUGUGCAACCAGAGAGCAUCUCCGGUCUCCCUUCUUAUCCUCUCUCUCUUUCCUAAGUCAAGUUUUGAGUACCCAGGACACAACUGUUAUCACGGCAGAGAACUGGUUCUGUGGUCCAUGUCGUGGAACCAUCUAGAAGGUUUCUUAUGGGACUCAACUUCCUGGCUGUAGUUUCUGGCACAAAGGCCCAGCCUUUCUUUCUGAGGACGUCUAUGGCAUCGCCAUCCUGCUCUUCUCUCUGGCUUAUGGUACAGAGACAGGCUUGAAGGUGGGAUGAAAAUACUUCGGAAACUUCCUUUGCUGGGAACAAACUAUGUCUUGGCUCACACUUCUGUGGAAGGCAAGUGGUCAAUUUAUAGCAUAAAGGAGUCUCCCCAAGACCACAGCCUGCCCUAUUAAUAGCAUCCCCUUCACCCAGCUGCAAAGUCCCCGACUCGGAUGUUGGGCUGCACAUCUGGAAGAUGUCAAGGUGUCGUAUGAUUAACACGUUUAUAGCUCGGGCUCUCCAUGAA